Molecule: ribosomal RNA, 500 nt
Filed under: uncultured bacterium
Lineage: Bacteria
Description: bacterial SSU rRNA
Rfam family: Bacterial small subunit ribosomal RNA
Source: RNAcentral
AGAGUUUGAUCAUGGCUCAGAUUGAACGCUGGCGGCAUGCUUUACACAUGCAAGUCGAGCGGCAGCGCGGGGGCAACCUGGCGGCGAGCGGCGAACGGGUGAGGAAUACAUCGGAACGUGCCCGAGAGUGGGGAUAACGCCGCGAAAGCGGCGCUAGUACCGCAUAUUCUCUGAGGAGGAAAGUGGGGGACCGCAAGGCCUCACGCUCACGGAGCGGCCGAUGUCGGAUUAGCUAGUUGGUGGGGUAAAGGCUUACCAAGGCGACGAUCCGUAGCUGGUCUGAGAGGAUGAUCAGCCACACUGGGACUGAGACACGGCCCAGACUCCUACGGGAGGCAGCAGUGGGAAUUUUGGACAAUGGGGCAACCCUGAUCCAGCCAUGCCGCGUGCGGGAAGAAGGCCUUCGGGUUGUAAACCGCUUUUAACCGGGAAGAAAAGGCAUCUCUUAAUACGGGGUGUUCUUGACGGUACCGGUGGAAUAAGCACCGGCUAACUACGUG